AUGGAGAACAAAGACAGUAGGAUGACAACUGAAUGGAACUCAACAAUGGAAAACAGAACGCAAUCAGAUAGCAAACAAACAAGAACUGACAUGAAAACCCAAAAAGAAACUAUAAAAAGACAAAGGCAACUGAUAUGUCAAGUAAUGGAGGAGAUCGAACAACUCUGGAGACAGACAGAAAGAAAAAGAAAUGAAAUUGACUUCUUAAAGACAAAGACAGAGGGGCAACAGGAAAACACUGAGAGACUGACAUCUGAAAAAAACAAACAGCACCUACUAUUAAAGCAAUUUAACUUCCAAAUAAAAAAUAUAACUGAGAAACUCAAAGAAAGCAAAAAUUCAGUUGCUAACGAAAAAACAAACCUUCUGAAAAUGUGGACUAAAAUAUACCAAGAGAAGGAUACUCUGGACAGAAGACGUCAUUACUUCAUCAAUGAGCGACACAGGCUAGACAGUAUAAAAGCUAGUAAGACAGAAUCACCAAUAAGGGAGGAACCCAAAGAGCUCCUUAAGCAGGUAAAGCAGGAACUGGAUAUACUGGAGAAUGCAACUGAGAAAAACAGGGAAAUAAUGGUUGAAGUAAAGAAAGUUAAAGAAAAAAUGGAGAAAACUAAAGCAAACAUACAGCAAGCAUUAAAAAGAAAUAAAGAGGACAUUUCAAAAAACAGUGAACAAAUUAACCACAUUAAACAUAUUAUGUAUGUAAAGAUCAACAUGGUCAAGCACAGAUGGGCAAGCAUUAUAAAACAGGCUGAAAUGAAGAAAAUUCACAUGUAUAAAGAAGGACAGAGAGAAAGAAAAGAUGGAAAAGCCACAUUUGACACAGUGAAGAGAAAAAUGUGUAGAAUCCAGGAAGAGAUGGAGAAACUUUGGGAUGUGCUGGAAGACAGUGAACAACAACUGGAAGUGACUCAAAGUGCAAAGCAGCAGCUAAUGGCAGAGAACAAUCCCGUGAACAUCAAGAUGAAUAUUAAUUAUCCAAAGCAACAAGCUUCAGAUCUAAGCUUGAAAGUGACACACAUCCAGUCUGAAAGAGAUGACUUAAAGAGAGUUAAAAUGAAACUAAAGACAGGAAGGGAAAAUGUAGAAAAAGACAAGCCAAAUACUUACAUGCAGAAUUUGAUCUCUGAGGAAGAAGAAAACAAUGAGGUGCUUUGUAUCAAGAGUGAAGAAACAAAGCAGAGCACGAGGGACUUUACAGAAGUAAAGGCUCAAACCAAAUGGACAAAUUUUCGAGAAAAGCAAAAAAGAAGGGAGCUUGAGCAUCUGCUCGAGAAGAUAAUGAAAGAGAGGGAUGAGUUAGAAAUCAUGAAGAGAAAAAUACAGCGACAAAAGGAAGGGGUUGAACAAAAACUGGAAAAUACUGUCACUGAGAUGAAAGGUAAAAUAGAAAAAACUGGUGCAGAAAUUAACAACACUUGGGAGAAAAUGCGGAGAACCCAAAGGGAGAUGAGUAAGAACGAGGAAGAAGCCAAGAACUAUAUGGAAAACCUAACAACCAUGAAAGCUUGGGUCAACAAAUGGAUAUCGACACAAUCUACAAUCAAAUAUACUUUUUCGGUGAAUGCAUCCAAACUUCAAGAAUCACAGAAAGAAAUAGACACAGACUCCCUCGAGGAUCAAACAUCAGCAAUUCCAAAGGACAAAAGGGGGACAGAAAAUAUAACAGAUACAACAUCAUUACAAAAUUCUGUAACAUUAGAUGAUCAGCAUCAAAAUAAAAAAAUUAAAGAACAACAGAAGGAGCAUUUUGAAUCCAAACAUUGUUUUGCAGAAGGCAAAAAUGGGGAGCAGGACUUUUGCUUACAGAUGCGAACUGAAAUUCAUGAAGAAGCAGUGCAUGAUAAAACUGAAUUACUGAUAAUUGUAAGAGAAAGGGAAGAAGUGGAAAAACUGAUAUGUAACCUAAAGCAGCAAGAGGGGGAAAUAAAGGAGCAAAUAAAGUACACUGUUGAUAACAUGAAAGAAAAAACUCAAGACAUCAAAAGGCUCAUUUUGGAAAUGAAUGACCUGCAGAGGGCAGACACUGUAAUUACAGUCGGCGAAACUGAAAAUGCCCAGGAAGUAUUAACUAAGCUGUUGGAAGAAACUGAACAGAGAAAGAUUUUGAUGGUGAACACCAAAGUUUUCAAAAAUGAAAUAAUGAAAUAUGAAGUACAAGAGGAGGACGAUGCCAAAAAAAUAAAACAAGAGUCUAGCUUGAUAAGACUUGAUAUUAACAAGCAAAAACAAAUUCAGAAAUCAGGAGAAGAGAUGAAAAAAUAUGUUGAACACACAGAUGAAAAUAAAAAGGACAGAGGAGCCGAUGUACAAAGACUCAGGGCAGAGAUUUACAAAACACAAGAGAUUAUAAGAACGCUAAGAGGAGGACUUGAGAACCUAGCGGAAAAAAGUAACAUGGACAAAGAUCAAAAGAAUGAAGGCAGUGAAAUUGAAGGAUUGCUAAAAGACAUCAAACAGUUUCAAGAGUUUUUGGAAAUUGUAAAAGCCACAAUAAAGCAAAGUGAAGUAUAUAUGACAGAAGAAAUGAGCAAUAUGAAAUCAAUUAAAACUGCAGUGAAAAAGAAGAGAAGAGAAUUAGAUCAAAGGUUAGAAAAUACUUCAAAAGAGAGAGACAGAUUAGACAUCUUUAAAAUAAAAAUGCAGAGGCAAACUGAACUGAUUCGGCAGAAUUUAGAAAAAAUGGCAAAAGUUAAGAGCACAAUCGAGAAAAUAGCCACUCAGACCAGAAGGAAAAUUGAAGAGAUAGAAAUUAGUAUGAAGGAGACUGAAAUAAAACUAAGACAGUUUAAAGACCUUGACUACAUUAACCUUAACUUAACAAAAGGCGCAAAACCAGACAUGGAACAUGGUACUACACCUAAGCAAAGAACUGCUCUUGAAAUUUUCAAGACUGAAAUUAGAAAGACAAUGGACAAUAAAAGAGAUAAACUGACAAAAACCAAAAUGGACAAAGAAACUGAGGGAACAGAAAUCCUCAAACAAGUUAAAGAGAAACUGGAUGAUGUAAGACUUUCAUUAGACAGUCUGGGUCAUAAAAAAAAAAAAUCAGUUAGUGAGACUGUGAAACAAAUAAUUAAGAGAGAAGAGACUGAGGUGACAGAACAGAUCCAAACAGCGAUAAAGAAUGAGAAAAUAGUUAAACAACUAACUGAAACAGAAAUACAGGAUGAACAGAUGAACCAUUUGAGGGAGAAAACUGAAAGACACAAACAGGAGCUUGAUGACAGAGUACACAUGACAAAAAGGCAAAUAAGAGAAAUGGAGCUGCUACAAUCAGAAUUGAAAAUAAAGACAAAAGAACUGGAGCGUUUAUUUAGAAAAACCAUGAGAAAAAAGGAGGAAAUUGAAAUAAUGUGGAAUGAAAUACAACGAGAAAAGGAAGCAUUGAGGACCGAGAUCAAAAAGAAAAGAAGAGAAUUAGACCAAAGACUGGAGAUAACUCUGAGAAAAAGGGAUGAACUAGAAAUGUUAAGGGUAAAAUUGAAACGACAGAUGGAAGAGCUGGCUGAGGAGAAGCAGAGAGACCAUAAUCUGUUCAUCCAUCUACCCAAUGAACAUGAAAAACAUUGGGAAAGCAAAGAUGUGAAAAUGUUCAUGGAGAAACUUAAAAACCACAGCUCAAAAGUUUCUCAUUAUAUUAUUUACAUCCAAAACAUAAGAGACAGGGUUAAUUUACACAUGGGAACAAUUAGGACAGAGAUGAAAAUUCUAGAAAAUGUGAAUGCUCAUUUAGAAAAGGACAGGAAGGGAUUCAGAGAAGUUGAGGCUGAAAAUAAGAAUAUAACAAACAAAAUGAGGAGAUUAAAAUAUCAGCUUAAUUUAAUCUUUGGAAGAGUUACCAUACAAGACACUGCAGAGAUGGAUGAAACAAUCAACAUGUGGGAAAAAAUCCAAAGACAAAAACAGAGGCUUGAUAUGAGACUAGAAAGUAUUAAAAGGGAAAGACAAGAGAUCGAAGCUCUGGUGGUUGAGCUGGAGAUGAAGAAAAGAGAAAACCAACGUGUAAUCAAAAGAAGCAUUCAAAAAGAACAGAAGAUAAAAAGAAUAUGGGUUACUUUCAAAGAAGAAAGAACUGCCCUCGUGAGAGAAACAAAGCAGAAAAAGGAGCUUGAACAACGACGAGCGGAGAUCAUCAAACAUCAAGGUAAACAAGAAAAAAAGCAGAAGUUGCAAAAAGGAAAGAAAGGGAUGAAAAGUGAAAUUGAAGACAUGAGGAUGACAGAAAAAAGGAAGCAAAUUAAAAAGCAUUGGGAACUAAUCAACAAAUACUUAGGGGAAUAUAACAAGGUAAUUAAAAACACUCAAAUCAUCAUUGGAAUAAUUCAGAAUGAAAAUAAGCACAUGCAAGACCAAAAGAAUUUCUACAUGACCAGAAGAAAAGAAGUACUGAAUAUGAAAAGCGAGUUAGAUAGGCAAAAGGAAAUUAUACGGUGCGCAUUAAAAAACAUAAAACAAGAGCGAAAACAUGGGGAACAAGUGGAGACAAAAAUCAAGACAGAGCAAGAAAAAAAUGAAAACGGAUGGAAAAAACAAUUUCAGAUAGAAAAAGAUGCCAUUGAUGACUUGAGUGCAGACAAGAGUCAAGACAAAGAAGAUGUUAAAAGAAUGACUGAGAUGUUGAAGAAGAACCAGAAACUUGAAAUGAGAGGCUGUAAAGUCAAAAAAGAAAUUGACAUAUUAAAACAAAAAAAGGAAGACAUAAAAGAGGAAAAGAAAACCAGUGAAAUAAAAGAAACGGGAAAAAAAAUAACGCUUAAGGAUGGUAUGAAAAGGGUUGUAUUACAAGACACAAAACAAGACUUCAUAAAAAAAGAGAUCAAAAAACGAAACCAGGGAAAACAAAAAGUCAACCAGAUGAGAACUAGACGUGACAAUAGAAAAGAACUGUUGUUGAAGGAAAGGAGAAAUAUCAUAGAUGAGCAGAAAGAGAUGGAAAUGAGAGGACACCAAGUCAUGACAGAAAUGAAAUCAAUAGAGAUUCUGAAAGUGAAACUUCAACAACUGAAAGAGGAUAUAAAAGCUAAAACGGACAGAUUACUACAAAAUGUUGACAACAGGUCCAUGCUGCAAACAGUGUUGGAAGAAAAACUUACAACUCAAGACAAACAGAAAGAAAACAUUUGCUAUUUCACUGAAAUGUUAGAGAGGGAAAGGGAAGGUGUGAGAACUAUCCUUUCAGAAAUGAUCACCAAGAGAGAAUGCACAGAAAAAGAAUGGAAGCAGCAGUUUGAACUGGACAAACGAGAUCUUGAUAAACUGAAAGAAGAUCUGAGACAAGACAGAGAAGAUCUGGAGAGAGAAAGUGAGGUGCUGAAUAAAGAGAAAAUGGAUUUGAAGCUGUUGAUGUCUGACAUGAAGAAACAAUUUGAAAUAUUGGAAGAAAAGAGACAAAAUGUAAAAGAAGAGAGAGACUCAAUGGAAAUCAUGAAGCUUGAACUGCUCAAUAAGAUGGAACAUGUAAAAAGGCUGUUAAAUGAGGCAAAUAAAGAAAAAGCCAAUAUUAAAGUUUGUAUCCUUCAGGUUCAAACGGAAAAAGAAAGACUUGAAGACAUUUUAAGCAAGAUUUUCUUAACACAUAGUGAACAAAAAGUCAAGGAAGAUGACCUCAGAAGACAAACAAAAGAACUGGAAAUGAAGAAGAAGCAAUUACAGAGUGAAAGAGAAAAAGUGGAGAGUCUGAUGAGGAAUCUCAACAAGAAGCAAGAAGAGCUUGAACGUGCAAAGGAAAUCAUGAGUGAAGAAAAAGAAGAGGUGAAACAGAUGAAGACUGACAUUGCCAAAGAACGAGAACUGUUGUUGAAGGAAAGGAGAAAUAUGGAAGAAGAGCGGUCUGAGAUGGAAAUGAGAGGAGACCAAGUCAUGGAUGAAAUGAAAUCAAUAGAGAUUCUGAAAGUGAAACUUCAACAACUGAAAGAGGAUAUAAAAGCUAAAACGGACAGAUUACUACAAAAUGUUGACAACAGGUCCAUGCUGCAAACAGUGUUGGAAGAAAAACUUACAACUCAAGACAAACAGAAAGAAAACAUUUGCUAUUUCACUGAAAUGUUAGAGACGGAAAGGGAAGGUGUGAGAACUAUCCUUUCAGACAUGAUCACCAAGAGAGAAUGCACAGAAAAAGAAUGGAAGCAGCAGUUUGAACUGGACAAACGAGAUCUUGAUAAACUGAAAGAAGAUCUGAGACAAGACAGAGAAGAUCUGGAGAGAGAAAGUGAGGUGCUGAAUAAAGAGAAAAUGGAUUUGGAGCUGUUGAUGUCUGACAUGAAGAAACAAUUUGAAAUAUUGGAAGAAAAGAGACAAAAUGUAAAAGAAGAGAGAGACUCAAUGGAAAUCAUGAAGCUUGAACUGCUCAAUAAGAUGGAACAUGUAAAAAGGCUGUUAAAUGAGGCAAAUAAAGAAAAAGCCAAUAUUAAAGUUUGUAUCCUUCAGGUUCAAACGGAAAAAGAAAGACUUGAAGACAUUUUAAGCAAGAUUUUCUUAACACAUAGUGAACAAAAAGUCAAGGAAGAUGACCUCAGAAGACAAACAAAAGAACUGGAAAUGAAGAAGAAGCAAUUACAGAGUGAAAGAGAAAAAGUGGAGAGUCUGAUGAGGAAUCUCAACAAGAAGCAAGAAGAGCUUGAACGUGCAAAGGAAAUCAUGAGUGAAGAAAAAGAAGAGAUGACCUCAGAAGACAAACAAAAGAACUGGAAAUGA
Long non-coding RNA from Oreochromis niloticus (Nile tilapia), 6696 nucleotides. The record is from Ensembl. Lineage: Eukaryota; Metazoa; Chordata; Actinopteri; Cichliformes; Cichlidae.